Molecule: long non-coding RNA, 1958 nt
Filed under: Homo sapiens (human)
Lineage: Eukaryota; Metazoa; Chordata; Mammalia; Primates; Hominidae
Description: HSALNT0082148
Source: RNAcentral
GACCAGUCCUCCUAUGAAUAUAACUCAAUCGUCCUCUACCCACCUUCUCACCAGGCACGGAGAGUUCAAGAGUCGGGCCGGGCGCAGUGGCUCACUCCUGUAAUCCCAGCACUUUGGGAGGGCGAGGCUGGUGGAUCACCUGAGGUUGGGAGUUCGAGACCAGCAUGGCCAACGUGGCGAAAACCCAUCUCUACUAAAAAUACAAAAAUGAGUCACGCAUGGUUGCAGAUACCUAUAAUCCCAGCGACUUGCGAGGCUGAGGCAGGAGAAUCACUUGAACCUGGGGAGCGGAGGUUGAGCCUGCCACCUGGAGGCCUCGUCUGGAUAAGAAGAAGCUUGGUCUCCACAACCCCUUGUCUUAACCCAGACACUCCUUUCUACUGAUUCCAGCUCUUUAGAUAAUAACUGGACUCUUUCAACCAACUGCCAAUCAGAAAAUCUUCAAAUCCACUUCUUCUGCCCCUGCCAAUUGCUAUCCCAUCAGUAAAAUAGAACAUGCAGACGCUGGCUAAGUUUCACUGUGGCUGGGUAGCAAACUCACUCGCAUCACAGUCUCAUGGAUGAAACACACGUGACUUCUCAGUUUCUCGACAAGUGAUCGCAUCUCACUCCUGAGCCUGAACCUGCCAGCGCUAGGAAUGGGGCAGGACUGCGAAUCAAGAUUUUGUUCAACCGAAUUUAUUAAUUUAAAAUCUCUUCUUCAGUAAGUGCUCCGUUUCCUCAAUGCUUGGUUGCCCACAUUGCCUCUCUCUCCUCUUUCCACCAUUUCUCAGCACAAAGGGAACAGAACAACAGUUUGCUCCCCUCCCAUCCAUUGCAUCCUCCUCCUGCUCUACAGCAGCGGGGGUCUCCUGGCCAUGCCCUCCAGGCACAAAGACAGCCCACCUCCCAUCCUGGACCAAUCGUGUGAUCACAGACCUCCAGGCUGAGUUCCGCAUAUGCUUAAGAGAUUCAUAAAAUUCUCUCUUCUCUCUCUCUCUCUUCCUCACUUUUGCUCACUCUUAUUCUUUCACUUAUCCUUGCUCUCAUCCUCUCUCCAAAGUCUAGCCUGUGGUCUUACUGUCUUGCUGCAGACAGCAACAAAAAUCAGGUUUGACUGUCCCAGCAUAUACCUGUAAACUGGAAGAGCAGGAAGCCACUUUUCCCUUGCAGGGGAGGGAAGACAACCCCCCUGCUCUCUGAAGGUUUGAUAACUGAGUCUAUGAAAUACGCAGACAGUAGGCAGAUGAGUGGGAGAAAAGGCAAACACAUGUAUUAUAUGCACAGGGGCAGCCCAGGGAAGAAAAGUGAGUGCCCAAACCCAGUGUGGUCUGGAAGCCCACAAACCUCUUCCCAGGGAAAGAGGGGAGGUGCGGGAAGCCUGGGGUGAGAGAAUGACCUGGGGGAAGGUGAAUGGGUGAUGCCUGUGACUGAGUCUGCCUGGAUGUCCUGUGGACCCCAAGUCUCUCCUGGAUAAUCCUCCCAGGUUGAUGAGAUUCCCAGGGAGGAGAUGCAUGACAAUUGAGCUCCUGUUGGAGAGUUGGGUUUUUAGGCAGAUAGGCAGGUUCAGAGAAAGCCCCUCCCUGCAUUGCUGCUCCUCCAGUGCCCUCCAUUUGAAGCAAUCAGUAUAUUUUGCGGUCGCAUUUCCUGAACCCUUUUACUCUUGGAGCACUGCAACCCACAGCUUCAAUGACUGGGACACCCAGAGCAUGAAGAUUUACGGGAAAUGGAAAAAUAUGCCUUCAAGUACAUCUCAAAAGACACUGUGCUCAUUAUGAACCAUCUACAAUAUGAAGGGAGAUGAGCAUAAGGAGUUUUCUUUUUCCUCCCCUUCCUCCUUCGUGAAUAGCCUCAAAUUUCAUUAAAAAAUGUCUGAGAGAUGUGUUUAUCCAAAUGACACAGCUGUAGGAGGGGAGGUCAUUAGGAAGAAGUUCCAUGGAAAAGAGGAAAAUGAAGGUUGAUUGUUACCAAUAAAUUAG